UGACCUCAAAUCAGGAG
Molecule: ribosomal RNA, 17 nt
Filed under: basidiomycete sp. LC4
Lineage: Eukaryota; Fungi; Basidiomycota
Description: partial large subunit ribosomal RNA
Source: RNAcentral